GCCAGACUCCUACGGGAGGCAGCAGUGGGGAAUAUUGCACAAUGGGGGAAACCCUGAUGCAGCGACGCCGCGUGAGUGAAGAAGUAUUUCGGUAUGUAAAGCUCUAUCAGCAGGAACGAGACAAGACGGUACCUGACUAAGAAGCCCCGGCUAACUACGUGCCAGCAGCCGCGGUAAUACGUAGGGGGCAAGCGUUAUCCGGAAUCACUGGGUGUAAAGGGAGCGUAGACGGCUGAGCAAGCCUGAAGUGAAAGGCGGGGGCCCAACCCCCGGACUGCUUUGGGAACUGUACGGCUGGAGUGCAGGAGAGGUAAGUGGAAUUCCUAGUGUAGCGGCGAAAUGCGUAGAUAUUAGGAGGAACACCAGUGGCGAAGGCGGCUUACUGGACUGUAACUGACGUUGAGGCUCGAAAGCGUGGGGAGCAAACAGGAUUAGAUACCCGCGUAACG
This 449-nucleotide ribosomal RNA is filed under the name uncultured bacterium. RNAcentral describes it as "bacterial SSU rRNA". It matches the Rfam family "Bacterial small subunit ribosomal RNA", at positions 330 to 793 of the family's 1533-position model. The record is from RNAcentral.